Molecule: ribosomal RNA, 690 nt
Filed under: uncultured bacterium
Lineage: Bacteria
Description: bacterial SSU rRNA
Rfam family: Bacterial small subunit ribosomal RNA
Source: RNAcentral
AACGCUAGCUACAGGCUUAACACAUGCAAGUCGAGGGGCAGCACAGUGUAGCAAUACAUGGGUGGCGACCGGCGCACGGGUGCGUAACGCGUAUCCAACCUUCCCGUUACUCUUGGAUAGCCUUCCGAAAGGGAGAUUAAUACAAGAUGGUAUUCAAAUUCCGCAUGUUAUUUGAAUUAAAGAUUUAUCGGUAACGGAUGGGGAUGCGUGACAUUAGGUAGAUGGCGGGGUAACGGCCCACCAUGCCUACGAUGUCUAGGGGUUCUGAGAGGAAGGUCCCCCACACUGGAACUGAGACACGGUCCAGACUCCUACGGGAGGCAGCAGUGAGGAAUAUUGGUCAAUGGUCGGAAGACUGAACCAGCCAAGUAGCGUGAAGGAUGAAGGUUCUAUGGAUUGUAAACUUCUUUUAUACGGGAAUAAAACCUCCCACGUGUGGGAGCUUGUAUGUACCGUAUGAAUAAGCAUCGGCUAACUCCGUGCCAGCAGCCGCGGUAAUACGGAGGAUGCGAGCGUUAUCCGGAUUUAUUGGGUUUAAAGGGAGCGUAGACGGGAGAUUAAGUCAGUUGUGAAAGGCUGCGGCUCAACCGCAGCACUGCAGUUGAUACUGGUUUCCUUGAGUUCGGUUGAGGUGUAUGGAAUUCGUGGUGUAGCGGUGAAAUGCUUAGAUAUCACGAAGAACUCCGAUUG